AGUGAACGCUGGCGGCGUGCCUAACACAUGCAAGUCGAGCGAAGUGGCAGUUCGCCGCAAGGCGAAUAUGUGCUUAGCGGCAGACGGGUGAGUAACACGUAGACAAUCUACCUCUUAAAGGGGGAUAGCCCAUCGAAAGGUGGGGUAAUACCCCGUAAGAUCAGGGCUUGGCAUCGAGCUUUGAUGAAAACAUCCGCAAGGAUGGAUGAGAGAAGAGUCUGCGGCCUAUCAGCUAGUUGGCGGGGUAACGGCCCACCAAGGCUACGACGGGUAUCCGACCUGAAAGGGCGAUCGGACACACUGACACUGAGACACGGGUCAGACUCCUACGGGAGGCUG
RNAcentral lists this ribosomal RNA (339 nucleotides) under uncultured Elusimicrobia bacterium. RNAcentral's name for it is "bacterial SSU rRNA". It matches the Rfam family "Bacterial small subunit ribosomal RNA", at positions 29 to 351 of the family's 1533-position model. The record is from RNAcentral. Lineage: Bacteria; Pseudomonadati; Elusimicrobiota; Elusimicrobia.